CACGUAGGCACCAAGCGUUGUCCGGAUUUAUUGGGCGUAAAGAGCUCGUAGGCGGUUCAGUGAGUCGGGUGUGAAAACUCAGGGCUUAACCCUGAGACGCCACCCGAUACUGCUGUGACUAGAGUGUGGUAGGGGAGCGGGGAAUUCCUGGUGUAGCGGUGAAAUGCGCAGAUAUCAGGAGGAACACCAGUGGCGAAGGCGCCGCUCUGGGCCAUUACUGACGCUGAGGAGCGAAAGCGUGGGUAGCAAACAGGAUUAGAAACCCCCGUAGUCC
This 274-nucleotide ribosomal RNA is filed under the name uncultured bacterium. RNAcentral describes it as "partial 16S ribosomal RNA". It matches the Rfam family "Bacterial small subunit ribosomal RNA", at positions 524 to 796 of the family's 1533-position model. The record is from RNAcentral.